AUCCAUCUGACGAGCUUCAAAUAGGACGAAAUGCGCGUCCUGAAU
Molecule: non-coding RNA, 45 nt
Filed under: Schistosoma margrebowiei
Lineage: Eukaryota; Metazoa; Platyhelminthes; Trematoda; Strigeidida; Schistosomatidae
Source: RNAcentral